Molecule: long non-coding RNA, 1924 nt
Organism: Homo sapiens (human)
Lineage: Eukaryota; Metazoa; Chordata; Mammalia; Primates; Hominidae
Source: Ensembl
CCACCUUAAGAGCUGUAAUACUCACUGCAAGGGUCUGCAGCUUCAUUCUUGAAGUCAGACCAAGAACCCAGCAAUUCCCAACACACAGGGACCAGCUUCUUUCCUAACUCACUUAGGCUCUUCGUGCUGCUCUGGCAACUAACACCCUUGGCUGCAGGGGCUUGGACACUACCCUUAGUCACUGACAAUUGUGUGAAGGCUGCUGUCGUUAACUUCACUUGAUCACCUUAGGCUCCUGUGAAGUGGUGAGCAAUUCAAACAAAUUCCUGUCGUCAAAUCAUAUAAGAUCAAUCAGAUUCGUGUUUUGCAACUACUUCUUGGCAAGACGUACGGGACUGACCGCAGUUGACACAUGCCAAUAGGGGGAGAAAUCUGAAGACGUGUUUCUGUGCAGUGGUGGCACCCAGGGGCUCUGGCCAGAGGAGGUCACAGGAAGAUGCCUAGCGGCCCGUGGAGCGACCUGCCCCGCAUUGUCACUUGACCGCUGGUGUGCGAAGGGGAUAACACUGUGUUCAAUGUGUUUGUAACCUUGCAUGAAAAAAUUGAAGAAAUGUCACUUUCUUCUCACCCUCUCCCAGGCCAAUCAUCUGUCAUGAAUUCAAUAUGAGGCAAACGUCUGGUGAUCACAGGGACAAACUAGGGAUAGGCCUUUGGGAGAGGAAUCUACUCAGUUUGUGUUCAACCGGACUAUCCAGGUAGGGGAGCUGGCUGGAGAGGGAGCCAGCAUUUGUUGACUGUAAUCUCUGAGCUAGGGUCGCAAUUACAUCUUCUGCAUCUUUGUGUGCAUAGUACCAAGCACAGAAUUAUCCAGAGUAGACACUCAAUAAUUGUUUGUUGGAAGAGUCAUUGUUGCUUUUGCUUCCAAGCCCCUCACAAAUUUCCACACAGUGCAGUUGAGCUCGCACAGUCAAUGAACAGUUUAUAUCUGAUUAAUAGGGGCUGAUAGUCUGAGGUGGCCUGCCUUCUUGCAGAGAAAGUUUGGGGUGGGUUACUGAGACAGGCUGGAUUCAUGGGGUGAGUUGGCUCAUGACCCAACAUAGCCAGGAAGCAAAGCGGAUAUUCCUCUGAAUUUUGCAGGCCAGGUGUGGCAUGUGUCUGAAAUUUCAGCUGCUUUAUCUUUAUACCCAUCAUUUUGGUAAGACUAUGUGUCCAAUCUGAAAUUCACCAACAGGACAGGGCCAGCUGCCAGAACUGAAGUCCCAAGAAGAAAACCAAGCAAAGCUGAGACACAAACCUGAACUUUUGAACUUGUCAAUCUACUGAGUCAACUAACUCUGGGACUCCCAUGUCUGGACUUCUUCAUGUGUGUUAACCUAUCUUCCUUGUUGCUUUUGCCACAAGGUGUUCUGGUUCUUGUAACCAAACGCAUCCCAUCUGACUCACUGGGCACCUGACUCCAGUUGUGUAAAACAGGCCCAGAUAGCUUGCCUUUGCCUCCGUUGGCGUGUGGUGGACAAUUGUAAAUUUCCUUGUAAGAAUCCUGAUUUUGUUUGGAAGGACAGCGUGCCUGGUUCCAGGACUUGAAUCAUUCGUUUGUCCAGCAUCUCCAUGCUGUGUACGCUACCCGCCUGUUAGUCAUUGACACUGUCUGCUCCUGACAUCCACCCAUCAAUAUUGUCAUUGCUCAAUGAUCCAGGAUCACCGAGAGCAGAUGAGCCUCCUGAUGCAUGGUCAGAAGGUCAAUAGUAGCUUACUUCUCCGUCACAACGCCUGAGUUAUUCACCUCACCUCACCUCAUCACAUGGCCAUUUGAAUCAUCUUAUAUCAUCACAAGAAGAAAGGUGAAUACACAAUAAGAUAUUUUGAGAGAGAAAAAGAGACCGCAUUCACCUAAUUUUUAUUGCAGUAUAUUGUGAUAAUUGUUCUAUUUUAUUAUUGGUUAUUGUUGUUAAUCUAUACUGUGCCUAAUUCAUAAAUUAAACCU